GCGCAAGCCGCGGAUCCCUUUGCCGGCUCCGAGGGGUCGUGGAGGCGGCGCCGCCAUCGUUGUGGACCUCUGGGUCGCCAUCUGGAGACCUCUGCUGAGGUACGCCUUCGCCUUCGCACGCCGCCGACCUCCCAGAGGAGACGCCGCCACGAUCUGCGCUAAACCCUAGGCAUCAACCACCAUGCUCCCGUCCUCCGGUUCCUCCUGCGUUCGCCACCAUGCGAUCGCCUUCCUCCCUCAGGUUCUUGUACGGAACAUACCACCAGACCCCGAUGAAUCAGAUAGCAAGCCUGUGGAACAUUUCUUCCUUGUCAAUCAUCCUGAUCAUCAUCUGAAACAUCAGGUAAUCACUAAAUUUUGGAACAUCUCUCAUUUGAAGAAUCAUCUGCAAAUUCAAAUGUAAGGAAGUGUGCAGUGCAAGCAAUUAUAAGGGUAAAUCUAUUUCUCAAUUAUGUAUUUUUACCACUUCAUCAGGAGUGUAAACUGAUAGUAUUUCCAACUACAAAGUGUUGGCUGCCCAGGAAGAAGGAAAGGUCAGUCCAGACAUGACAUUUAACUAUAAUAAUGGAGGUAUGUAGUGCCUACUGCUCCCUUGUCCCUUGCUACCGGCUGGGGAUGCUCGGCUCGCCAGCGAUGGGGAUGCUCGGCGGGCAGUCCCUGCUCUCAUUUUCCUCCAGCCUCUGGUAACCCUCCUCCUCACCUGCCUCGCUGAAGCGGGAUUCACAGGUUAGUUUAGUUUGGAGGGAUUUCCUGUGGUUGUGCGUGAAUCCAGUGUUCAUCGGGCUUGUAUGUUUCAUUCCUAAUAUGCUAGCUCCUGCCUAAACACGCAUUAGAGAAUCUCAUGUAUGUAACAGAAGAUACACAGAUGUGGUUUUCCAGGGAGCAUCAGGUACAUCUUAUGUGGGGAUGAACCAUCAGCUAAAGGGAGUGAUAGGAAAAUAUUUUGUUGAAUGCAAUGGGAAGGUGAAAAACGACACGCCUUGGCGAAGCAACUCUAAGAUUCGGUAAGGCUAAUCAAGUCUGCAAUCAAAUCCAAGAGCAGGGGCAGAGAAAAACAUUAAAAUACUUUUUAGGGCAGAGAAACGUUAAAAUACUUUUUAGCUAUUGAUUGAAGUAACUGGUAAUUAGUAGCAGGAGCAACAAUUGUAGUAAGAACCUACCUAGGCAUAUUUUCUCUCUUUCCUAUCACAUGGCACAUUGAAUAACUUUACAGUACAAAUACAUUCACAUAUGUUAUUUUAAAUUAUCAUGUGAUGGAGGUUCUCGUUAUUUCAAAUCUUUGGUCGGAACCUUCAUUUUGUGUUAUUAAAUGCACAUGGUAUUCAGUUAUCUCCAUUAUGGUGAGAAGACUUUGAUCUUGAUAUAUCAGAUUUAAGCCUCCUACACCAUAGGAGGUCCUCCUUUUGGUGAUAUUCACUCAUAUGUCAUUCUAAAUUAUCAUGUCAUGGAGGUGAUGGGUAUUUCGAAUCUUUGGUUGGAACCUUCAUUUUGCGUUAAAUUCACAUGGUAUUCAGUUAUCUCCAUUAUUACCAGUAGCAAUGCACAAGCACUUUCUAUUAAAUGCACAUGCUAUUUUCUUUUGUAUCAUGUCAUUUUGUGGUCAUUAACAAUCAGAUUGAUGAAAUUGAUCUUGUUUUGUGCAUCAUGGAUUUUCCUCAACUGAAUGAGUAGAAACAUAAGUGUGUAAUGUAGUAGCCCCUCUAUUCCAUUGUUAUAAAUAUUAUAGUUUUUCAAUCUUCUGACCUGAUCGUAACAACUGUUUAAAAGGAAGUGAUCACAUCACUAUUUAGAUUUUACUUUUUUUGUAUGCUUAAACAUAAGAUUAGUUUGUCCCCUUUCUUUUUACCCUUCAUGCUAACAUAAUAAAUACAUAUUUGAACUGAAUCGGUUGUAUUACAUAUGCCACGAAGGAUGUCGCCGCUUGAAGCUCAAUUUCCAUCAGCCCCUCUUUUAAUUCACUUGCAUUGUUUCAGCUUUGCAUUGUACUUCUUUGACGAAUUACCUCAUCCAAUCGGCUUUAAUUCGGAGCGUCAGUCUUACUAAUUAUCAUUGCCUUAACUUUUCAUAUGAACCUCUUACAGGAAACAAGGACUCCUAUUUGUCUGUAGUACUGCCCAUGAGACUCAACCUUGUUUUACCUUAAUUAUCAUGGUGUGCCUGUUUUUAGAAUAGCUCACCAUUUUGUUAGUGGCAAUAAAAUGAUCUUUAGGCACACCUAUAGCGCACAUGUGAUGAUGUACAGAUGAAAGAAAGAUCUUAGAAGUUGAGAAGCCGAGAGCUGGAGGAAUAAGGAGAAGCUAAAAAGACAGAAGAAGUCAGAGCAUGUGGAGCUGUUGGGCAAGCAGAGUUCUAUCUGGGUAUUUAGGUAGAUGAGGAUAAAAGGGAAAAGGAAAAUGUUGACGAUAUAGCUACUCAAUGCUGAGAAUGUUGCCUGCAUACUUUGUUGCCUAUAUAUCAUCGGCUUUGUAUUGAUCCAGGCAAGAACAAUCAGAUGGAACAAGUUUGCUACGGGUGGGUGUGCAUCAAGUUGCUUCGUUGCCGGCGGCGAGUAAUCUCACACAUGUUUAUGGUGCAUAUGUACCGGAAAAUUCAAAUGGUUCUGAUCAUACGUACGAGGGGAAUCAGGUAGGGCUUGAUGCGCCUUUCAUACGAAAUGUUGAUGAGAAUUACCCAAGUAGUCCAGGUAUGAGGCUGUGCGGAUAUAGUAAUCAUAAUUUUCAGUGGCAUCGGCAUGUUCUAAUAAAUAAGAUGGGAAGUUCAGAAUAAUGUAACAUCGGCAUGUUCUAAUAAAUAAAAUAAGAGAAGGCUGGGUAUACUGAAGCAGACCCCUUAUAAUUAUGAACGGUUUAUAAAGUUGAAGGAUGAAACUUGAACGAACACAAUUCUGAGGUUUGUAAAGUGAAGCCAAAGACAAGUUCGAGGGGUAAUGUGGACUUCUCUCAAACUAUAUUAUUAGAGGACAAUGAGGGUCUUGAAGACAAUGAAAGCGAUCAGUUUCUGCUGGUUUUGUUUUGUUGUAGGCGAAGUUCUUAAUUAUAAUUAUCAAUGUGUUUGUUUUUCUUAAGGACGCAGUGACAUGCAAGGCGAGGGAAAUUGAAGCCAAAACAUGCAGGACGGCCAGGAGUGUGCCAUUUUUUCUAUGACAGGAGGUGGUUCUUCAAUCUUCAGGGAAUCAAGUGGUAGCAUCAGAUACUGACAUGCAUGGAAGUAAACAUUGAUAAGAGUACAAGCAUUGGAGGAGUACUCACCACUUUCGAGGAAGUCGUCAUCAUGGUGGUGGUGGUCGAGGAAGUCGUAGGUGCUGGUGGCAUCAUCACGGAGCAGUUACCAUCUUCUCCUCGACUUAAAAUGUAGUACUCCAUGUACUCCCACUUGUUAACUUUUUGAAAUGCAGAUCCACUCCAAGAAUGUGCUCUGAAAUGGAAGUAACAUGGAGUAUACUCUAAAAAUCAGUAUGGUUUGAGCCCACUAGAUCAAUCAAAGUUCUCCAGCAUGAUAAAAAUAA
Long non-coding RNA from Triticum aestivum (bread wheat), 3505 nucleotides. RefSeq lists it as uncharacterized. NCBI's taxonomy places the organism in Eukaryota, Viridiplantae, Streptophyta, Magnoliopsida, Poales, Poaceae. The transcript is spliced from 5 exons. The record is from RefSeq and is a predicted model, not a curated record.